This is a non-coding RNA of Acanthosepion pharaonis, 90 nucleotides long. Lineage: Eukaryota; Metazoa; Mollusca; Cephalopoda; Sepiida; Sepiidae. The record is from the annotation of a GenBank genome assembly.
UUACGGCCAUAUCACGUUGGAACAACGUUUCUCGUUCGAUCACCGAAGUUAAGCAACGUCGAGCCUAGUCAGUACCUAGAUGGGUGGGCG